RNAcentral lists this ribosomal RNA (450 nucleotides) under uncultured bacterium. Its description in RNAcentral is "partial 16S ribosomal RNA". It matches the Rfam family "Bacterial small subunit ribosomal RNA", at positions 354 to 796 of the family's 1533-position model. The record is from RNAcentral.
GUAGGGAAUCUUCCGCAAUGGACGAAAGUCUGACGGAGCAACGCCGCGUGAGUGAUGAAGGUCUUCGGAUUGUAAAGCUCUGUUAAUCGGGACGAAAGAGCCUAGUGUGAAUAAUGCUAGGAAGUGACGGUACCGGAAUAGAAAGCCACGGCUAACUACGUGCCAGCAGCCGCGGUAAUACGUAGGUGGCAAGCGUUGUCCGGAAUUAUUGGGCGUAAAGCGCGCGCAGGCGGAUCUGCCAGUCUGUCUUAAAAGUUCGGGGCUUAACCCCGUGAUGGGAUGGAAACUACAGAUCUAGAGUAUCGGAGAGGAAAGUGGAAUUCCUAGUGUAGCGGUGAAAUGCGUAGAUAUUAGGAAGAACACCAGUGGCGAAGGCGACUUUCUGGACGAAAACUGACGCUGAGGCGCGAAAGCCAGGGGAGCGAACGGGAUUAGAAACCCUGGUAGUCC